Molecule: small nuclear RNA, 104 nt
Organism: Bos grunniens (domestic yak)
Lineage: Eukaryota; Metazoa; Chordata; Mammalia; Artiodactyla; Bovidae
Source: Ensembl
GUGCUCGCUUUGGCAGCACAUAUACUAAAAUUGGAAUGAUACAGAGAUUAGCAUGGCCCCUGCACAAGGAUGAUACACAAGUUUGUGAAGCAUUCCAUAUUUUU